UACAGAGACUGCAAGCGUUAUUCGGAUUCACUGGGCGUAAAGGGUGCGCAGGUGGUCGUGUGUGUCAGAUGUGAAAUCCCGGAGCUUAACUCCGGAACUGCGUCUGAAACUGCACGACUAGAGCAUUGGAGAGGGUAGUGGAAUUCACGGUGUAGCAGUGAAAUGCGUAGAUAUCGUGAGGAACACCAGAGGCGAAGGCGACUACCUGGACAAUUGCUGACACUCAGGCACGAAAGCAUGGGGAG
This 245-nucleotide ribosomal RNA is filed under the name uncultured Opitutus sp. RNAcentral's name for it is "partial 16S ribosomal RNA". It matches the Rfam family "Bacterial small subunit ribosomal RNA", at positions 524 to 768 of the family's 1533-position model. The record is from RNAcentral. Lineage: Bacteria; Pseudomonadati; Verrucomicrobiota; Opitutia; Opitutales; Opitutaceae.